This 433-nucleotide ribosomal RNA is filed under the name uncultured bacterium. Its description in RNAcentral is "partial 16S ribosomal RNA". It matches the Rfam family "Bacterial small subunit ribosomal RNA", at positions 29 to 507 of the family's 1533-position model. The record is from RNAcentral.
AGCGAACGCUGGCGGCAGGCCUAACACAUGCAAGUCGAACGAACUCUUCGGAGUUAGUGGCGGACGGGUGAGUAACACGUGGGAACGUGCCCUUUGGUUCGGAAUAACUCAGGGAAACUUGUGCUAAUACCGAAUGUGCCCUUCGGGGGAAAGAUUUAUCGCCAUUAGAGCGGCCCGCGUCUGAUUAGCUAGUUGGUGAGGUAACGGCUCACCAAGGCGACGAUCAGUAGCUGGUCAGAGAGGAUGACCAGCCACACUGGGACUGAGACACGGCCCAGACUCCUACGGGAGGCAGCAGUGGGGAAUCUUGCGCAAGGGGCGAAAGCCUGACGCAGCCAUGCCGCGUGAAUGAUGGAGGUCUUAGGAUUGUAAAAUUCUUUCACCGGAGACGAUAAUGACGGUACCCGGAGAAGAAGCCCCGGCUAACUUCGUG